RNAcentral lists this ribosomal RNA (254 nucleotides) under uncultured bacterium. RNAcentral's name for it is "partial 16S ribosomal RNA". It matches the Rfam family "Bacterial small subunit ribosomal RNA", at positions 524 to 776 of the family's 1533-position model. The record is from RNAcentral.
UACGUAGGUGGCAAGCGUUGUCCGGAUUCAUUGGGCGUAAAGAGCUCGUAGGCGGUUCGAUAAGUCGGGUGUGAAACCUCCAGGCUCAACCUGGAGACGCCACCCGAUACUGUCGUGACUAGAGUCCAGUAGGGGAGCGUGGAAUUCCUGGUGUAGCGGUGAAAUGCGCAGAUAUCAGGAGGAGCACCAGCGGCGAAGGCGGCGCUCUGGGCUGGAACUGACGCUGAGGAGCGAAAGCGUGGGGAGCGAACAGG